Molecule: transfer RNA, 68 nt
Filed under: Marmota monax (woodchuck)
Lineage: Eukaryota; Metazoa; Chordata; Mammalia; Rodentia; Sciuridae
Description: tRNA.Ala
Source: RNAcentral
GGAUUGUGGCUCAGCGGUAGAGCACCUGCCUAGCAUGUGCAAGGCCCUGGGUUCAAUUCUCAGCACCA